AAUGAACGCUGGCGGCGCGCCUAAUACAUGCAAGUCGAGCGAGAAGACGUAGCAAUACGUUUGUAAAGCGGCGAACGGGUGAGGAAUACAUGGGUAACCUACCCUAGAGUGGGGAAUAACUAGCCGAAAGGUUAGCUAAUACCGCGUACGCUCCUUGGACUUCGGUUCAGGGAGGAAAGCGAUGCCGAGGGUAUCGCGCUCUUGGAUGGGCUCAUGUCCUAUCAGCUUGUUGGNGAGGUAACGGCUCACCAAGGCUUCGACGGGUAGCUGGUCUGAGAGGACGAUCAGCCACACUGGCACUGCGACACGGGCCAGACUCCUACGGGAGGCAGCAGUAAGGAAUAUUGCGCAAU
RNAcentral lists this ribosomal RNA (353 nucleotides) under uncultured bacterium. RNAcentral describes it as "bacterial SSU rRNA". It matches the Rfam family "Bacterial small subunit ribosomal RNA", at positions 29 to 372 of the family's 1533-position model. The record is from RNAcentral.